GGGGGCGAAUUGGGUUCGACCGGGCAGUCUGAAGUGUAAGUGGCGUGCCGUGGUUGGUCAGCGGGCCACGAUAAAAGCUGACCAGACUAUUAAUUGCCGAGGAUAACCUCGUCCUGGCUGCGUAAAAACACGUAGCCCCGGCUGCGGGCUUUUGCCGAAGAGGCCCAAAAGCCGGCCACCAAUUUCGGCUCGUCCCGGGUCAUUGUUGGGCACGCCCGGGACUAGACCUGUUCCCGACUAGCCGGCCUGGCACCCCGUCGGUUGGGGGCCAGACAGGCGAAACACCAAAUGAUCCGACUACGCACGUAGAAGCUUGCAUGGAAAUGUCGCGGGACGCGGGUUCGAUUCCCGCCGCCUCCACUU
This 363-nucleotide transfer-messenger RNA is filed under the name Planctomycetes bacterium RBG_16_64_12. It matches the Rfam family "transfer-messenger RNA". Rfam says of the family: Bacterial tmRNA, also known as 10Sa RNA or SsrA, is named for its dual tRNA and mRNA-like properties. Its role is to liberate the mRNA from a stalled ribosome. The record is from RNAcentral. Lineage: Bacteria; Pseudomonadati; Planctomycetota.